RNAcentral lists this long non-coding RNA (662 nucleotides) under Pogona vitticeps (central bearded dragon). RNAcentral's name for it is "lncRNA (ENSPVIG00000022621.1)". The record is from RNAcentral. Lineage: Eukaryota; Metazoa; Chordata; Lepidosauria; Squamata; Agamidae.
CGCGGCCGGCCCACAGGGCAGCCUCCUCCAAUCGGAGGGGAUGGGCGCUGCUGAUCGACAAACAAAGUCCGCCCAAUGGCAAGGAGAGGAAGUCGAGCAAACUCUCGGUGGCAGCUAAUCAGAGCGCUAGGGGCGGGGCGAAGGCUCCACCGGGCUGGGCGGCAGGUGGUGCCAGACAGAUGCCAGCAGCACAGUAAUCUUCAAGAGGCCACAAGUAUUUGGCUAGAGACAACAGGAAUAUUGGAAAUGGGAUAAGACAGCAACAGAAGCCACAGAGUACGGAUUCCUUUCUUUCCCCCAAAUUCAGAUUCUUGAAUCUUAAAUUAUAAUUGAAUUUUUGAUGUGGGGUCUUUAAGAAAUAGUUACUGAAAAUCAUUUUAGAAAUCAGCAGUAUUUUUUUAAAAAAUCAAAUAACUGAAUAUCUUUGUAUCUUGAUUUAUUAUUAUUAUUUUGGUAUGCACAGUUUUAGGAAAUGAAUGUUGUUGCUGCUGUGGAGAGUUGAGAGAUACAUGGUAAAUUGAGUGCAUUUUAAAGCCAAACAGAACAGCUAGGGAAGACUAGGUGGUAGGACUUAAGCUGGAUCCUGCUGAUAAGGUUGUGUGAGAGAGGAAUGAUUUAGAAAACAGUAUUUGCAGAAAGGAAACAGUUGACCCUCUAGCAGU